Unclassified non-coding RNA from Oryctolagus cuniculus (rabbit), 282 nucleotides. It matches the Rfam family "Metazoan signal recognition particle RNA". From Rfam's summary of the family: The signal recognition particle (SRP) is a universally conserved ribonucleoprotein. It is involved in the co-translational targeting of proteins to membranes. NCBI's taxonomy places the organism in Eukaryota, Metazoa, Chordata, Mammalia, Lagomorpha, Leporidae. The record is from Ensembl.
GCCGGACGCAGUGGGGCACGCCUGUAGUCCCCGCUACUCGGGAGGCUGAGGCCGGGGGAUCACUUGAGUCCAGGAGUUCUGGGCUGUCAUGCGCUAUGCCGAUCGGGUGUCCGCACUAAGUUCGGCAUCAAUAUGGUGACCUCCCGAGAGCGGGGGACCACCAGGUUGCCUAAGGAGGGGUGAACUGGCCCAGGUCGGAAGUGGAGCAGCCGAGACUCAAACUGGCGCCCACAUGGGAUGGGCUGGCUGGCUUUACCCGCUACGCCACAGCGCCAGCCCCUC